This is a long non-coding RNA of Neogale vison (American mink), 398 nucleotides long. RefSeq lists it as uncharacterized. The transcript has 3 exons. The record is from RefSeq and is a predicted model, not a curated record. NCBI's taxonomy places the organism in Eukaryota, Metazoa, Chordata, Mammalia, Carnivora, Mustelidae.
UUGCAGCAGAAACACCCUGCUAAAGAACAAGUAUCUUGGUUCACAGCAAAGAGGACAAAGGAAAACAGCAAGUUAUAGGGAGUUGAAUGCUGGAUUGAACCACCGGGACCGCUGCCUUCUUGAGAUGCCAAGAAGAGACUCAAGAUCUAAGGGAGUGAAUGAGGGAUCAUGUCCUAUUUGGCCACUCUGUCACGCUGUCUUUGCUUCCUUUUGCUAACACAUGACCAAUCUUCAAACUCCAAAGGUGGCUGGUAUACAUAAGUCAACAACAAAGCACUCUCUCCUCUUCUGGGCAGAGGCUGUCACACCGGAACACUAUCCCAGCGCAUCUGCAAGCCUGGAAGACAGUCAUCCCUCUACAAGAUGCCGAUAGCAUUUCACAACCUGCUCAACCACUU